This 582-nucleotide ribosomal RNA is filed under the name Calonectria pseudonaviculata. RNAcentral's name for it is "eukaryotic LSU rRNA". It matches the Rfam family "Eukaryotic large subunit ribosomal RNA", at positions 40 to 647 of the family's 3401-position model. Lineage: Eukaryota; Fungi; Ascomycota; Sordariomycetes; Hypocreales; Nectriaceae. The record is from RNAcentral.
AUAUCAAUAAGCGGAGGAAAAGAAACCAACAGGGAUUGCCCUAGUAACGGCGAGUGAAGCGGCAACAGCUCAAAUUUGAAAUCUGGCCCUCGGGUCCGAGUUGUAAUUUGUAGAGGAUGCUUUUGGUGAGGUGCCUUCCGAGUUCCCUGGAACGGGACGCCAUAGAGGGUGAGAGCCCCGUCUGGUUGGAUACCGAGCCUCUGUAAAGCUCCUUCGACGAGUCGAGUAGUUUGGGAAUGCUGCUCUAAAUGGGAGGUAUAUGUCUUCUAAAGCUAAAUAUUGGCCAGAGACCGAUAGCGCACAAGUAGAGUGAUCGAAAGAUGAAAAGCACUUUGAAAAGAGAGUUAAAAAGUACGUGAAAUUGUUGAAAGGGAAGCGCUUAUGACCAGACUUGGGCUUGGUUGAUCAUCCUGGGUUCUCCCUGGUGCACUCUUCCAGUUCAGGCCAGCAUCAGUUCGCUGCGGGGGAUAAAAGCUUUGGGAAUGUGGCUCCCUCGGGAGUGUUAUAGCCCAUUGCAUAAUACCCUGCUCCGGACUGAGGUUCGCGCAUCUGCAAGGAUGCUGGCGUAAUGGUCAUCAGCGA